Molecule: long non-coding RNA, 811 nt
Organism: Micropterus dolomieu (smallmouth bass)
Lineage: Eukaryota; Metazoa; Chordata; Actinopteri; Centrarchiformes; Centrarchidae
Exons: 4
Source: RefSeq, a predicted model, not a curated record
CUGAAAUAAAUCAACUUUUUGAUGAUAUUCUAAUUAUAUGACCAGCACGUGUGUGUGUAUAUAUAUAUGACAAACCACUAAAGAUAAUAUCAGCCCUGAUGAUUUAUGGACAAGCCUUUACAACAGGUCAUGCUUUAGUGGGUGGGUAAGAAUUUACAUCCACCUCCUCCAUGGGUAAUUUGCUGUGCACAUUACAGGCUUUGAAGUAUGAAGAGCACCAAACCACAGGCUCACUUUUACGCCUCGCCAGCCAGACAAGGACGCUGCGAUCCCAGUCUCCUACAGGGUGAAGCACAAAAACACAGAUGCAUCAAUUCUUAGGCAAAACAAGGAGUUUAUGCGUGCGUGUUUGUGUGUGCAUCCAGAAACAGCAAAACUGAGCUAGCCAGAAGCAGCAGAGGUUGAAGCAGACAGUGCAAACAAUUCCCAGCAUUCCUCAGAGGAGCAGAAUAAACUGACCCUGGCCUUCUUCUGCCACACAGGCUGAGACACUGAUGGAAUAGUGUUGUGACUACCGCCAACGAAAGAGCCUAAAUUUGUUUUGGUCUGUUUUAGUUUUGUAUUACAACCUUAAAAUUGCUUAAAAGAAAUUAAACCCAGACUGUAUUUAAUUACCCCUGGCAUUAAAGUUUAGGGCUCAUUGACUGUCUUACAAAUAUAUAUAAUUCUUGUAUUCUUACUUAUCAAACUAGUUUAUUUCCUUUGGCUAAUUUUGCACAUGUGGAGGCCCUGGAAGCUCUUUUAAGCUCUGAAAAAGGCAUGUUGAAAUGUCAGUUUAUGAAAUAAAGUGCAUAUCUGUUAUUUUAAAGUG